Molecule: unclassified non-coding RNA, 304 nt
Filed under: Zea mays
Lineage: Eukaryota; Viridiplantae; Streptophyta; Magnoliopsida; Poales; Poaceae
Description: misc RNA Zm00001eb381500
Source: RNAcentral
GCUCGCUUAUUAUCUCCUAGAUUUGUGUGGUUACCCCUGUCUUGUAAGUAUGCAGCCUGGCAAUUUAUCCAUGGGUGGUACGCCAAUCUUGUAUAUGUACAGAUGAUGCUUCUGACAAGAGCAAGGGAAUGCAAAAGAGCUAGCGAGGUUCAGCAGAAGGGUUUGUCAGAAGAUCCAGUGCACGUUUCAGGUGAUCCACGGCAACAGAUACGUCGUCAAAUGCAAGAGCACCGACCGCAAACCUGGCUGCCUUGUGAGCCUCAGCAAUCUUCUCAACUUCAGGCUGGUAACUGCUAUCAUAUUU